Molecule: ribosomal RNA, 22 nt
Filed under: Echinodorus horizontalis
Lineage: Eukaryota; Viridiplantae; Streptophyta; Magnoliopsida; Alismatales; Alismataceae
Description: partial 18S ribosomal RNA
Source: RNAcentral
CCUGCGGAAGGAUCAUUGUCGG